AUUUGACGAUAUUUUAACUACAAAAUGGAAACACUGCAGCUACUACUAUUUUUGUUUUUUUCUCCUGCACCAAACAAGAAUAUAUUACCUUUAGUGUCUGGGAUAAUGUAUUGUUAUCUUCCAAUUCUUUGUUGAAUUUGUGACCAAGGAAUGUGAAAGUACCCUUUGCCUUCAAUAACUUUUCUUUUGUCCAACGUUCUAGAAUAGUCCUCAUAUACUCAAAUAGAUCAAAUAUUGG
RNAcentral lists this long non-coding RNA (238 nucleotides) under Nicotiana benthamiana. RNAcentral's name for it is "long non-coding RNA (NBEN_LNC016605)". The record is from RNAcentral. Lineage: Eukaryota; Viridiplantae; Streptophyta; Magnoliopsida; Solanales; Solanaceae.